AUACGUAGGGGACGAGCGUUGUCCGGAAUUACUGGGCGUAAAGGGCGCGCAGGCGGAUAUUUAAGUCAGCUGUAAAAGGCAUGAGCUCAACUCAUGUAUGCGGUUGAAACUGGGUAUCUAGAGUGCUGGAGAGGUAGGCGGAAUUCCCGGUGUAGCGGUGAAAUGCGUAGAGAUCGGGAAGAACACCAGUGGCGAAGGCGGCUUACUGGCCAGCAACUGACGCUGAGGCGCGAAAGCCAGGGGAGCGAACGGGAUUAGAUACCCCGGUAGUCCUGGCCGUAAACGAUGAAUGCUAGGUGUGGGUGUCGAGAGGCAUCCGUGCCGGAGUUAACGCGAUAAGCAUUCCGCCUGGGGAGUACGAUCGCAAGAUUGAAACUCAAAUGAAUUGGCGGGG
This 394-nucleotide ribosomal RNA is filed under the name uncultured bacterium. RNAcentral describes it as "partial 16S ribosomal RNA". It matches the Rfam family "Bacterial small subunit ribosomal RNA", at positions 523 to 918 of the family's 1533-position model. The record is from RNAcentral.